RNAcentral lists this unclassified non-coding RNA (375 nucleotides) under Pandora sp. (in: fungi). RNAcentral describes it as "Pandora sp. (in: Fungi) partial internal transcribed spacer region". The stretch from base 1 to 46 matches the Rfam family "Eukaryotic small subunit ribosomal RNA", at positions 1786 to 1831 of the family's 1831-position model. Lineage: Eukaryota; Fungi; Entomophthoromycota; Entomophthoromycetes; Entomophthorales; Entomophthoraceae. The record is from RNAcentral.
AAGUCGUAACAAGGUUUCCGUAGGUGAACCUGCGGAAGGAUCAUUAAUAAAAAUCUUCUCGAAAGAGAAGUAUUUAAUAUUGCUGAAAGGCUUUAUUAUUUAACCAAUUUUAAGUAUUAAAUGAGUACUAAAAUUACUACUUGUAGUAAGAUUAGUGGUUAUUUUGCUUUUAAAUUUACCUUUAAAGCAAUUUAAAGUUGAAUUUAAAAAUAAAAUAAUGCUAAUUAUAUUUAGUUAGUAUUUAUAUUAAUUAAAUAUAUUCAGUAUAAAUUUACCUACUUUUUGUAACCUGAAGCGUAAAACCUUCAAACCAUACCACUUUAAAAAUUAUAAAAAUAAAUUUACAACUUAUAACAAUGGAUCUCUCGGCUCCUA